GCCGGGUGUGGUGGCUCACACCUGUAAUCCCAGCACUUUGGGAGGCUGAGAUAGGUGGAUCACCUGAGGUCAGGAGUUUGAGACCAGCCUGGCCAACAUGGUGAAACCCCAUCUCUA
Non-coding RNA from Gorilla gorilla gorilla (western lowland gorilla), 117 nucleotides. It matches the Rfam family "Metazoan signal recognition particle RNA". From Rfam's summary of the family: The signal recognition particle (SRP) is a universally conserved ribonucleoprotein. It is involved in the co-translational targeting of proteins to membranes. Lineage: Eukaryota; Metazoa; Chordata; Mammalia; Primates; Hominidae. The record is from Rfam.